This 457-nucleotide ribosomal RNA is filed under the name uncultured bacterium. RNAcentral describes it as "partial 16S ribosomal RNA". It matches the Rfam family "Bacterial small subunit ribosomal RNA", at positions 338 to 795 of the family's 1533-position model. The record is from RNAcentral.
CCUACGGGGGGCAGCAGUGAGGAAUAUUGGUCAAUGGACGGAAGUCUGAACCAGCCAUGCCGCGUGCAGGAAGACGGCCCUAUGAGUUGUAAACUGCUUUUGUACAAGGGUAAACCUGAAUACGUGUAUUCUGCUGAAAGUACUGUACGAAUAAGGAUCGGCGAACCUCGUGCCAGCAGCCGCGGUAAUACGGGGGAUCCAAGCGUUAGCCGGAUUAUUGGGUUUAAAGGGUGCGCAGGCGGAGUGAUAAGUUAGGGGUGAAAUGUCAGAGCUUAACUCGAACUGCCUCUAAUACUGUUGAGCUAGAGAGUAGAUGCGGUAGGCGGAAUGUAUGGUGUAGCGGUGAAAUGCAUAGAGAUCAUACAGAACACCGAUUGCGAAGGCAGCUUACCGAUCUAUGUCUGACGUUGAGGCUCGAAAGCGUGGGGAGCAAACAGGAUUAGAUACCCUAGUAGUC